Acanthosepion pharaonis is the source of this 112-nucleotide non-coding RNA. NCBI's taxonomy places the organism in Eukaryota, Metazoa, Mollusca, Cephalopoda, Sepiida, Sepiidae. The record is from the annotation of a GenBank genome assembly.
UUACGACCAUAUCACGUUGAAAAACCGGUUCUCGCAAGAUCACCGAAGUUAAGCAACAUCGAGCCUGGUCAGUGCCUAUAAGGGUGACCGCUUGGGAAUACCAGGUGCUGGA